This is a long non-coding RNA of Bos taurus (domestic cattle), 623 nucleotides long. Lineage: Eukaryota; Metazoa; Chordata; Mammalia; Artiodactyla; Bovidae. The record is from Ensembl.
GCGAGAUCCCACAUGCUGCCGGGUUACUAAGCCCACGUGCCACAGCUACUGAGCCUAUGCUCCACAGCCCGUGCUCUGCAGCAAGACAAGCCCACACACCACAAAUGGAGAGUAGCCCCCACAGCAGCGAAGACCCAGCACAGCCAAAAACAAACGGGCUAAAGAGAAGAGCUGAAACAAAGAUAUGUUAAAGCUCAUAGGAAGGGUCAGAUCCUCCGCUUAGAGGAUCAGGGAAGACUGCCUGGAGGAGGUGACAUCGGAACUGAGCCUAAAGGGUAAACCUACGAAGAAUAGGGCACAGAGACGAUUGCAUCUCUCAGCCUUGCAGCGGGGGCAGCAGGUGACUGGUCCUGACGAGCACGAAGUGGGAAGAAAGGAGUGGUGGAAAAUUCUGGAUGAUGCUCCAUCCUCUCUCCCCUGGCUCUGGAGGCUGAGGAGACUGCAUGUACUGGAUGAACAGUUACAAGUGGCAGCUGGCCUGUGCGGCACCCUCAUGAGAAUUAUGAGAAGGCUUGCCGUCCAGGCUGCUCGGCUUGGUGAGAGUGAGCAGAGAGCAAGCUGGAUUUCAGCCUUGACCCACCCCCUCGGCCAGGCACUUGAGCAGUGGGCAACCCGCGCAACCG